Molecule: long non-coding RNA, 4377 nt
Filed under: Heterocephalus glaber (naked mole-rat)
Lineage: Eukaryota; Metazoa; Chordata; Mammalia; Rodentia; Bathyergidae
Description: lncRNA (ENSHGLG00100041775.1)
Source: RNAcentral
AAAAAAGACCUUUCAUUUCAUAUUUUAAUUGCUCGAAAAGCUACAUUCUCAGGACUAGCGCUUGAUGAUUACGAUUCACCUUUAGACGGUAAAGACUUCUCUUCUGGCCGACGUAGGCUGCUCUAACCUAAGUCAUGUGCACAUAGAAUAACACGACGUUUAUAAUGCAUCAGACGUUAAGGCUGAGCACUUCACAAGUGUUACCACAUUUGAGGAUUCUUGCAGCAAUCUUUAAAGCACUGGUCCUAUACCUCUUACAGGUGGGAAACUAACACUUCGGGAUGUUGACGAAAUGCACACGUAGCCUACAUGAGUAGUUUUAUUUUUUUUGGAGACAGGGUCUCGCUGUGUAGUUCAGGCUGGCCUUGAACUCGCGGUGAUCCUCCUGCCUCAGCCUCCCGAGUGCUGGGAUUACAGGCGUGGUGCACGCCAGCGGGAGCUAUUUAUUAUUUGAAGUUUUCCACGUUCAUUUUAUAUCCUCUGCCCGAUCUGAUUAAUUCCCUAAAAAACAAGACUGGAACCAAGGCUCUGGGACCAGGGACAGAAAACCAUGCAGAAAGAGGCUGGGAAAGGGAGGCCCCGCCAGCUGCCGUGCCACCUUAAGAAGCCUCGCCCUCCCCGCGCGGAGCAGGGGUGGCUCCUCCCACCCCCGUGUCAGCCGCGGCCCCGAACGUGGAGCUGGGAGGGGAGGCGCGCUGAAUGGAAAGACUGGGGCCGGCGCGGAGGGUCUCGGUAGCCGCGCGCUGCCGGCUGGGCGGCGGUGGGCGAAGCUCCAGCCUCGGGCCUGGGUCCUUCUGGGGGACUUAAGGGAUGGGGAUGAUGAGCUCCCCUGAAAUGUCUGUGGGGUGGAAUGUGAGCCCUGGGCCCAUCUGAGGCCUGGGCCCCAUCUUGGGGCGGGGUCGAGGUGGGGCAGAGCUGGCUGGCCCCGAGCGAUAUUCGGGAAGGGAUACAACGACAACCAGGAGAAAGUUGCAACUUCGCUGGUUCCGGAGGCACCUCUUCAAAUCCUGUCCAAACGAGGGGCAAGUUUUCCAUUCCCCGCCCCGAUGCCCCCACCUUCAUUUUAACUGGCUGUGCUUAGCGGUGGGCUGGGCCCAACCUUGCUCUCUGAUUGGUUGCUUAGGUCAUCCAUCACAGGGUUACGCAGGCGAGAGUGGCCAUUUGGGAGGAAGUGAAGAUUAUUUUGGUACCCCCUACCCCAGCUGAUGAUUGGCUAAGGAUGACAGUGACGUAAAACCGGACCGAAAGAUGGUCACUAAAGGGACAGGCCUAUUGGCCACGCUCAGGGACGAAGUCUAGGGUGGGACGGGGAGAGCCAGCCGGGCUGUGUUAUUGUCAGGAAGGACUACAUCGAUUGAAACCCGGAAAUGAGUGUAAUGGGAGCUGCAGGAAAACGGGGGAAAUCCGCGGCACCUUUGGAUCCCCUACGCCAGGUCAUUUCCUGAAAGGGAUCGGUGGUUUCCUGUUUACUCCGCCCAGGGCGCUCUGGCCCUCUGGAGCCGACUUAGAUUCUCGGGAACCUUUGGUCCUGACUUCCCGUUUCCAGUGCCAGCUAAGGGAGGAGACCACUGAAGUCGCCACCACCCACCAAAGAGUGAGUGAAGUCGCUGGACGGCUGCGACUGCUGCAGAACACACUGGCUGCCCAUCACCUGGAUUCCAGAGCUGCUGCUCAUGACUCCACCUCAGCACGUGGACCUCAUGCCCGGGCACUGGCAGCUGCUGCAGACCAAGGCCAAGGUCUCUGGUGACCACAGGGCAAUGUCCACUUUGGUGUUGGACAGGAUGCCUCCUGGUGCUCCUGGCUGUGGCUGAGGAACAAGUGACUUGCUACAUGGACUGGAUUAUCAGAUUUAAAUGACAUGUGGUCUCCAGCAUUUGGGGCUAUGGCCCAGAAGAGAUCAUCCCCCGUGAGUUUUCUACAGUGUGUGGCCCUGGUAAAACUUCAGGGAAGUUGAUACCUCCGCAGGUGUGUUUGCAUGGAUUUUAAGAAGUCAUGGCGUCACAUAACCUCUAUCCGAGAGUUUCUGAAUUUUCCCGACAGUGAUGAAUGGAAACCAACAUGUUGGAAAAGGGAAAGUCUGAAGAGAAUUCGCAGAUUUGCUUUCUGUCUCACAACAUUUCGCGUCUUUCUCUAGGUUGCACACUUUCACCCUGAGGAUGUGGUCCAGGAGCAGUUGAUGGGCUUCUCCUUAUGGAUCAUAAACAUGAACUCCAUGAUUGAAGUGAGGUCUGACACCUGGAAUAUUUUACCAAUGAAGCCCAGCUGGGAAGACUCUAGAAUCAUCCAUUCCUCAGAAGAAAGUUGAAGUGCAAGGUUUUUGACAGUAUUGAGAUAAUUCUUUUUGACAAUGAUAGCGUCUUCGAGCUGAAUGUAAAACACGCCCUUUUCCUGAUAAUCAGUAUCUGUCUCCUGUGAAGACUACUAUAACAGUCCUCCUUCUCUUCGGGGUACAAAUUAUCAAUAAGGGAAUGGAGGGUUUCUAUGAGAUCAGAAGUAAUCUCUCUCUUCCCUUGAGAAUUCCCAUUACUACUGAAACUCUGGUUCUCCCACUGCUGACCUGCACAGCAAGCUGAGACCUUCCUUCAUUUCGCAGUAAGUCAGGCAAAUGAUCAUAAAUACUUGCCACUUGAAGGAGACAUGUUUUGCUUGUUAACUCCAGUAGCUGUAGGGUUAUAUCUGAAAAUCUAUUCGAGGGCCGGGGAUUUAGCUCAGUGGUUCCUCUGCCUGCCUCGCAAGCGGAAGGACCUGAGUUCGAUCCCCGGUACCAAAAAAAAAAAAAAAAAAUCUAUUCGAUGCAUCCUUACUUCCAUUUGUUUCUGCACCUACACGCCAGAACUAUUGUACAACAAUACUUCACUCGGAAGAGAGCUGGGAGAUUCUGUGUCCAGCUAUUCCAAGGCAUUAUUUUAAAGCAAGGAAUUCUCAUUGAUAAGCAAUUAGUUCUUCUUUCCCAUUUUGCCACAUAGCAUUCCAUGAUAAAGUAAGGAACGAAGUGACAGAUGCUAAACCAAUGGCCUGCAUCACACUGGGUCAGAGGUUUGUGAUGACAACCGGGACUGUUUUCUCUUUACCCGGAAGUCAGCAGUAUCCAGUACUCCUGGCUCUCAACCAAUAAGCACAGUCAAUGAGAGGUUCCUUUCAGAUGCUUACAGACAUACCAUUCCCGGUCGCCCCUCAGGAUUGUCUUCGCAGCCUUCAAACACCCAUGUCUCCGGAUAUUUUCCUCCACUGAGCAGUAGAAAUCCCCACUGGCAACAAAAGAUCACAAGAGCUUAGUGAUUUUUAAUCAUUUUUAAUAAAAACGACGACCGCCAUGGCAUCUUGCUCCCCAUGGGCUGGGUCCAUUAUGUGGUUUAAACCUUCACCAAACCCUAUGAGGCCAGCAUUACUAAUAUCAUUUUACACACCCUCAACCUCCUGAGGGCUGGGAUUGCAGGUGUGUGCCACCAUACAAGGCCUUUUUUUUUCUCCUAGACAUAGUCUCACUCAGUUGCCCAGACUGGGCUUAAACUUGUGAUCCUUCUCUCUCAUCCUCCCACCGUGCCUGGACUACAGGACUACUGGUGUGCAUGAGCACACCAGCCUCACUGAAAUUACUGAGCCUCUUCUGUGUGCCAGCCUUCGAGUGAGAUACUUCACAGCCUCAGUCCCUGCCAGGGAACACCCCAGGGCCCCAGCCUACUGUGGAUUUAUCACAAAGGUCCAGCUCCAGGGAAACUGAGACAGUUGUGGCCCUGCCCUAUCCACAGGAGUCUCAAGAGGCUGUGAAGAUCCUCCUAACUCGAGGUCUAGAGGCAAGCUUCUGCCCCAGCUUUCUUCAAAGGUGAAGAUCCUCCUAACUCGAGGUCUAGAGGCAAGCUUCUGCCCCAGCUUUCUUCAAAGGUAGAUGCUGUACAUUGGCCUCCCUACAGUUAGCCUGGGGUUAAGGAAAACUCCCAAGCAAUGACUUUUCCUUUAUGCUGCCUCCUAGGUUAUGAACUGCAGGGCAGAGCGAUGUUUCGGGUCUCCAUAGUGCCUACUAGUGCCUUAAUAGAGUGGUUAUAAAAUGAAUGAUGUGGAAUUUAUUUUUUUGAGACAGGAUCUUGCUAUAUAGCUCAGGCAGGCCUUGAACACACUAAGUAGAUCAGGCUGGCCUUAAACUCUUAGAAAUCCUGUCUCCGCCUCCCAUGUGCUGGAAUUACAGGUAUGUACCACCAUGCUUUGCUACGUAUAUUUAGUUAAAUUGGGGUGUUUCCAGGCAUGGUACUGCACACCUGUGAUCCUAGCAUUCUGGAGGCUGAGGCAGGAGGAUUGCUGAGAGAUCCAGGCCAGCCUGGACUACACAGAAAGACCCUGUCUCAAAAUACAAAAAGAAUAAAUAAAUAAAGAUGUUGC